Molecule: ribosomal RNA, 446 nt
Filed under: uncultured bacterium
Lineage: Bacteria
Description: partial 16S ribosomal RNA
Rfam family: Bacterial small subunit ribosomal RNA
Source: RNAcentral
GUCCAGACUCCUACGGGAGGCAGCAGUGGGGAAUAUUGCACAAUGGGGGAAACCCUGAUGCAGCGACGCCGCGUGAAGGAAGAAGUAUUUCGGUAUGUAAACUUCUAUCAACAGGGAAGAAAAUGACGGUACCUGAAGAAGAAGCCCCGGCUAACUACGUGCCAGCAGCCGCGGUAAUACGUAGGGGGCAAGCGUUAUCCGGAUUUACUGGGUGUAAAGGGGGCGCAGACGGCAGCGCAAGCCAGGAGUGAAAGCCCGGGGCCCAACCCCGGGACUGCUCUUGGAACUGCGCGGCUGGAGUGCAGGAGGGGCGGGCGGAAUUCCUGGUGUAGCGGUGAAAUGCGUAGAUAUCAGGAGGAACACCGGUGGCGAAGGCGGCCUGCUGGACUGCGACUGACGUUGAGGCCCGAAAGCGUGGGGAGCAAACAGGAUUAGAUACCCGAGUA